This 82-nucleotide transfer RNA is filed under the name Verrucomicrobia bacterium RIFCSPLOWO2_12_FULL_64_8. RNAcentral describes it as "tRNA-Gly". It matches the Rfam family "tRNA". Rfam says of the family: Transfer RNA (tRNA) molecules are approximately 80 nucleotides in length. Their secondary structure includes four short double-helical elements and three loops (D, anti-codon, and T loops). Further hydrogen bonds mediate the characteristic L-shaped molecular structure. tRNAs have two regions of fundamental functional importance: the anti-codon, which is responsible for specific mRNA codon recognition, and the 3' end, to which the tRNAs corresponding amino acid is attached (by aminoacyl-tRNA synthetases). tRNAs cope with the degeneracy of the genetic code in two manners: having more than one tRNA (with a specific anti-codon) for a particular amino acid; and 'wobble' base-pairing, i.e. permitting non-standard base-pairing at the 3rd anti-codon position. The record is from RNAcentral. Lineage: Bacteria; Pseudomonadati; Verrucomicrobiota.
GGGUUCGUGAUGGAAUUGGCAGACAUCGCCGCUUGCCAAGCUGCGGCCGAAAGGCGUGAGGGUUCGAGUCCCUCCGGGCUUU